Non-coding RNA from Ustilago trichophora, 135 nucleotides. The record is from the annotation of a GenBank genome assembly. NCBI's taxonomy places the organism in Eukaryota, Fungi, Basidiomycota, Ustilaginomycetes, Ustilaginales, Ustilaginaceae.
GUCUUCGUGGCCUAGUUGGUUAGGGCGUAGGUCUCAUACGCAUAUUCGCCAGCGAUCCUGUCUUGACAGGAGUCAACCUACGAGCAUUACUGUUCAGAAAUCCUAAGAUCGCGAGUUCGACUCUCGCCGAGGACA